ACAGGCAGGAAAACAAGAGAAAUUCUUGCUCUUGCCAAGACAGACAUGGGGAAUUUCGAAGGCCCGCCUUCUGAACGUCACCUCGUCCCCUCUUCCUUGGUCCAGUGAGAAGUCCAGAUGCUUCCCUUGGGGAUGCCCAGAACACAGCCUGGGAUGAUGAGGAGAGGCGGGAGAGCUUCCUAGGAGAUGGGCCCUGGAGCACCACCGUCCCUCCCCUAGGCCCAGGAUGUGAUUCUGAAUCUACAGUCAGACUGGACCACCUCUCCCCCAUGCCCCCAGAAUGUCCACAGGGGCUCCCUCGCCUACAAUAGAUGGAUUAGAUUCCUCCCUACUCUUCCCACACUGUCAGAGUCUGACUGGUGUGAAGUUCCGGUGUUUUUGUGUGUAUUUUACUACCAGGGUCGGCUAGAUAAGGAGGAGCUUUCAUUACAUCCUGGAAGUCUGUCCCCCGCACACACGCACAGCCGUCCUCCCUUCCCCCAACAUCUGAUCUAAUUCUCUCUCUGCUUUGCUGAGGCUGGCCUGGCCUAAGAGGAUUAGAGCAUUUGCUAAACGGGACCAGGACAGGCAGGGUCAGAGAACCCGCUGUGGGGAGACCCAGGGCCAGGAUGGCCACUAGGGGGCGGCAGAGGAAGCGAGACGCGGAGAGGGGUGUGGAGUGCUGAGGAGAGGCACUCGUCGGCUUAGCAGCAAUCAAUGUCCACAAAGUAACCAUGAAGUUUUAUUCAUUUUUAAAUUUACAAUGUCCAGCUAAGUUAUGAGAAUUCAAAAGAAUUGAACUAGGUUCCUGGAAACAAAAUAAACAGA
Molecule: long non-coding RNA, 807 nt
Organism: Homo sapiens (human)
Lineage: Eukaryota; Metazoa; Chordata; Mammalia; Primates; Hominidae
Product: long intergenic non-protein coding RNA 1595
Source: Ensembl